UUACCAGACUCCUACGGGAGGCAGCAGUGGGGGAUAUUGCACAAUGGGGGAAACCCUGAUGCAGCGACGCCGCGUGUGGGAAGACGGUCCUCUGGAUUGUAAACCCCUGUCCCCAGGGACGAAGAUGACGGUACCUGGGGAGGAAGCUCCGGCUAACUACGUGCCAGCAGCCGCGGUAAUACGUAGGGAGCGAGCGUUGUCCGGAAUUACUGGGUGUAAAGGGAGCGUAGGCGGGACUGCAAGUUGGGUGUCAAAUCUGCCGGCUCAACCGGUAGCCGCACUCAAAACUGCAGUUCUUGAGUGAAGUAGAGGCAGGCGGAAUUCCUAGUGUAGCGGUGAAAUGCGUAGAUAUUAGGAGGAACACCAGUGGCGAAGGCGGAUGACUGGACGGCAACUGACGGUGAGGCGCGAAAGCGUGGGGAGCAAACAGGAUUAGAUACCCGAGUAGA
Molecule: ribosomal RNA, 449 nt
Filed under: uncultured bacterium
Lineage: Bacteria
Description: partial 16S ribosomal RNA
Rfam family: Bacterial small subunit ribosomal RNA
Source: RNAcentral